UUCUGGAGAAACAGCAUACAGGCCAGCGGCAGGAAUAAUUGAUUCUCCAAAAUUUUAUUUGUUGAAUGUUGUUCGUGGUUGGUGGUGGCGUCAGGCUGCAGGAGAAGAUGACUUCCUACGAAAAACAUAAAAAAGAUUAAUUAUUGAUUAGAAAUUUGCUAAGCUACAUUUCAGCAAUGCAUACCUGUUUUUUAUUCCAAUUAACAGGGCUAUUCUGGAGUUGUGAUGCUCACCAGUCGCAAUUAUUUGUGAGUUUCCAGCUCCCGCGCAAUCUUACGAUGUUGGUGGUAGCCAAGUGGCAGGAUUUCUACGAAUUGAUUGAUAAUUCGUCAAAAACAAAGAAGAUAUCUAAUAGCAUUCAUUUAUUCGCACCCCGAUACCUUCAAAGAAGAAAGACGUGAGCAGAAAGGACAAGCGUGUAAAGAAACAUUGCACAGACUGUGGAGUUGUGGCUGCAGAGGCAACGGGAGUAAAAACAAUUAGCAAGACAACGCAUCUGAUUUCUUCUCGAACUUUUUUCAAGUGCCUCGUCCAAAAACCGUGUCUGCCAUGCUCGACAUUUCUCACAAUCUCCGAAAUUUCUACUAAGUUAUAUUUGGAACCGAUCCUGAAGUACGUGGAAGAUGUGAUUGCACGCAACCAACUUCCCGACAAUGCUAUCGGACGUUCAUUUUAGGUUUUGAUUCAUUCUGUGCCAACCAUGAGCCACGAUCAGUUUAUCCAAAUAUUCAAUGGCAACAUCAGGGAUAUUCUGAUGGUGGUUACUUUGUCAAGACACCGUUGCAGCUCAACGUUCUUAUUAUAAAGAUGAUAUGGAUGCUGAUGGUCAUGAUAAUUAUAAGAAAAGUUGCCAAAAUGAACAAAAAUAAAAAUGCAUAUAUUUGUUUAUUUAUGACUUUUUAUUGCAUUUGGAAUGACAACAAUUGUAAAAGUAAUCGAAUGAAAAUUACUUUUCCUUCUCCCUGCAAAACUUUUUUGUGAGCUUACCUGAUUCAGCAGCUAUUUAUGUGUUCGUUAAACUUCUUUUAUCAAUAACAAAUCAACUGGUGAAGCGAUAUUUUACUCCAGUCAAAAAAACUCUUGACUUUUUCCAAACCUAUAGUGGCAAGCUUUGAGCAUGCUGCAGAUCAGCUGUAUUCCAGAUACCAUCCUGGAGAGUAGGCCAAAAAUUGCCUAUCUGAAUAUUCCGAAACUAAUACAAACAGAAAUCAAUCAGAGAGAUUACGCAACGACGAAAAAUGUAAUACGCGCGAGAACGAUGAAAUGGCUGCCUAAUUUCAUCGAGAUGGUAGGACACGUCUGCGCUAGCAUUGAAUCGAUGUCACUCUUUGGAAAAGAAUCGCGUGCACUCAACAUUUGCUUGAAGAUAAUGUCGUUAAUUAAGAGUUCUCUUUGGGAAUCGAUUCAGUAUGUCAUCAAUCAAACGUCCAACAAAAAAAUCUGUUAUUAUGGAGUUGUAGAAAAGUAUGUUCCCACAAUUUUAAAGAAUUUUUGUCACAACCCAGUCUGGAACACUCGUUUGGGGGCUCGAACUCAUCGUGAAGGUGUUGAGCUUUGCAAACGCUUUGCUCAGGUGGUGUGUGUUGCAAGAAUUUCAUGGCUUACUAUAUUCUUUCAAAUUUGCAUUGAAAAUUUUAAGAAGCUGAAUUUCAGAAUCAGCAGUUGCUGAAAACUCGUGUUAACCUGGAAGCUGAUUCGAGAAGAAAUGCAAUAAAAUUUUUACUGAUCGAGAGAAUUUUAUGGGCAUGAGGCGCUCAUUUCCGGAGGUGUUUACUUUUUUGUCAAUUGAUGGUACAGAACUUAGAGCUAUAUCCCCAGGCUGAUAAAAAGUGAAAACAAAUGGACUAAGCUAUUAAUAUUACAAAGAAGGCUAAGAAGAAAAAAGCUUAGAAAAACAUUCAGGAAAAUAAUUAUAAUUUUAUAUUUUUUUUUUCAAAUUAUUUGAAUUAAUUCGAUUUGUACAGUAAUAAUGCAAAAUAAAAUCAAAAAUAAAGAUUGAUUUUAUUUUUAAAAUAAAAAUAGUAACCAAGUUGUACCUAAUUGUAUUUUGGUUUUUUGUAUCACCAGUUGAAUAGAAGUAGAAAUCGAAAAAGUUGAAUUUCGUUUCAAAAUGUCUAUCCACCGGUGGACAAUACUGAUCUAACUCUGUUCUCGUCUCCAUCGGGG
This is a long non-coding RNA of Episyrphus balteatus (marmalade hoverfly), 2166 nucleotides long. RefSeq lists it as uncharacterized. The record is from RefSeq and is a predicted model, not a curated record. The transcript has 6 exons. Lineage: Eukaryota; Metazoa; Arthropoda; Insecta; Diptera; Syrphidae.